AUUGAACGCUGGCGGCAGGACUAACACAUGCAAGUCGAGCGAGCGGCGGACGGGUGAGUAAUGUCUGGGAAACUGCAUGAUGGAGGGGGAUAACUACUGUAAACGGUAGCUACUACCGCAUACCAUCAGAUGUGCCCAGAUGGGUUUAGCUAGUAGGUGGGGUAACGGCUCACCUAGGCGGCGAUACCUAGCUGUUCUGGGAGGCUGACCAGCCAAACGGGAACUGAGACACGGCCCAGACGCCUACGGUAGGCAGCAGUGGGGAAUAUUGCACAAUGGGCGCAAGCCUGAUGCAGCCAUGCCGCGUGUUGGAAGAAGGCCUUCGGGUUGUAAAGCACUUUCAGCGGGGAGGCGUUACCCGCAGAAGAAGCACCGGCUAACUCCGUGCCAGCAGCCGCGGUAAUAC
Molecule: ribosomal RNA, 406 nt
Filed under: uncultured bacterium
Lineage: Bacteria
Description: partial 16S ribosomal RNA
Rfam family: Bacterial small subunit ribosomal RNA
Source: RNAcentral